GCUGGGUGUGGUGGCACACACCUAUAAUCCCAGCAGCUCAGGAGGCUGAGGCAGGAGGAUCACGAGUUCCAAGCCAGCUUCAACAAUGAUGAAGCACUUUAGCAACUCAGUGAGACCCUGUCUCUA
RNAcentral lists this small RNA (126 nucleotides) under Marmota monax (woodchuck). Lineage: Eukaryota; Metazoa; Chordata; Mammalia; Rodentia; Sciuridae. The record is from RNAcentral.